AAAAAAAAUCAAAAACUAA
RNAcentral lists this small RNA (19 nucleotides) under Arabidopsis thaliana (thale cress). RNAcentral describes it as "ATSL234330". Lineage: Eukaryota; Viridiplantae; Streptophyta; Magnoliopsida; Brassicales; Brassicaceae. The record is from RNAcentral.